AUGGUCACAAGAAGGUGCACUGGAUUGGGUGGUAAAAGAUGUGCAUGCGAAAGCAUGAAGGAGGCCUGGGCUUUAGGGACCCGGAAGCGUUCAACCAAGCUAUGCUUGCCAAAGCAGCGUGGCGCUUGUUUUAGGUGCCAAACUCGCUAUGUGUACGGGUUUGGAGGCACAGUGCUUCCUCGAUGGGUCAAUUCUGAAUGCUACAUGCCCUUCUGGGGGAUCAUACACAUUUCGGAGCAUUUUGCACGGCCGUAA
Molecule: ribosomal RNA, 255 nt
Filed under: Triticum aestivum (bread wheat)
Lineage: Eukaryota; Viridiplantae; Streptophyta; Magnoliopsida; Poales; Poaceae
Description: partial small subunit ribosomal RNA
Source: RNAcentral